AGUGCGAAGAAGAGAU
This 16-nucleotide small RNA is filed under the name Arabidopsis thaliana (thale cress). Its description in RNAcentral is "ATSL187350". The record is from RNAcentral. Lineage: Eukaryota; Viridiplantae; Streptophyta; Magnoliopsida; Brassicales; Brassicaceae.